AAAUGAAUUGACGGGGGCCCGCACAAGCGGUGGAGCAUGUGGUUUAAUUCGACGCAACGCGAAGAACCUUACCAAGGCUUGACAUCCCUCUGCCCGGAUUUUAAUCGAUCCCUUUCUUCGGAACAGAGGAGACAGGUGGUGCACGGUUGUCGUCAGCUCGUGUCGUGAGAUGUUGGGUUAAGUCCCGCAACGAGCGCAACCCCUGCUUCUAGUUGCCAUCAUUAAGUUGGGCACUCUAGAGGGACUGCCGGUGACAAACCGGAGGAAGGUGGGGAUGACGUCAAAUCAUCAUGCCCCUUAUGUCUUGGGCUACACACGUGCUACAAUGGGCAGUACAAAGGGCAGCGAAGCCGCGAGGCGGAGCAAAUCCCAUAAAGCUGUUCUCAGUUCGGAUUGCAGGCUGCAACUCGCCUGUAUGAAGCAGGAAUCGCUAGUAAUCGCAGGUCAGCAUACUGCGGUGAAUACGUUCCCGGGCCUUGUACACACCGCCCGU
This 493-nucleotide ribosomal RNA is filed under the name uncultured bacterium. RNAcentral describes it as "bacterial SSU rRNA". It matches the Rfam family "Bacterial small subunit ribosomal RNA", at positions 903 to 1397 of the family's 1533-position model. The record is from RNAcentral.